RNAcentral lists this ribosomal RNA (767 nucleotides) under uncultured Gammaproteobacteria bacterium. RNAcentral's name for it is "bacterial SSU rRNA". It matches the Rfam family "Bacterial small subunit ribosomal RNA", at positions 48 to 810 of the family's 1533-position model. The record is from RNAcentral. Lineage: Bacteria; Pseudomonadati; Pseudomonadota; Gammaproteobacteria.
UUAACACAUGCAAGUCGUGCGAGAAAGUAUCUUCGGAUAUGAGUAGAGCGGCGGACGGGUGAGUAACGCGUAGGAAUCUACCUAGUAGAAGGGGAUAGCCCGAGGAAACUCGGAUUAAUACCGUAUACCUCCUUCGGGAGAAAGAAGGCCUCUCUUUGAAGCUUUCGCUACUAGAUGAGCCUGCGUAAGAUUAGCUUGUUGGUGAGGUAAAGGCUCACCAAGGCGACGAUCUUUAGCGGGUCUGAGAGGACGAUCCGCCACAUUGGGACUGAGACACGGCCCAGACUCCUACGGGAGGCAGCAGUGGGGAAUAUUGGACAAUGGGCGCAAGCCUGAUCCAGCCAUACCGCGUGUGUGAAGAAGGCCCUAGGGUUGUAAAGCACUUUAAGUUGGGAAGAAAAGUUAUUGGUUAAUACCCAAUAACCGUGACAUUACCAUCAGAAUAAGGACCGGCUAAUUCCGUGCCAGCAGCCGCGGUAAUACGGAAGGUCCAAGCGUUAAUCGGAAUUACUGGGCGUAAAGCGCGCGUAGGUGGUUUAUUAAGUUGGAUGUGAAAUCCCCGGGCUCAACCUGGGAACUGCAUCCAAAACUGAUUCACUAGAGUACGAUAGAGGGAGGUAGAAUUCACAGUGUAGCGGUGGAAUGCGUAGAUAUUGUGAAGAAUACCAAUGGCGAAGGCAGCCUCCUGGAUCUGUACUGACACUGAGGUGCGAAAGCGUGGGUAGCGAACAGGAUUAGAUACCCUGGUAGUCCACGCCGUAAACGAU